AGAAACUUAAGUUAUGUAAACUAGGAGCCUUCAAAGCCCCCAAAAAAGUACCGCUUUAGUUUCUG
Molecule: transfer RNA, 65 nt
Filed under: Thermophis baileyi
Lineage: Eukaryota; Metazoa; Chordata; Lepidosauria; Squamata; Dipsadidae
Description: tRNA-Trp
Source: RNAcentral